This is a long non-coding RNA of Saccostrea cuccullata (small rock oyster), 1072 nucleotides long. RefSeq lists it as uncharacterized. NCBI's taxonomy places the organism in Eukaryota, Metazoa, Mollusca, Bivalvia, Ostreida, Ostreidae. The record is from RefSeq and is a predicted model, not a curated record. The transcript is spliced from 7 exons.
CCAAUCCAUUAACAAUAAAAAAAGAUGCAACCUCUUCUUCUUGUGUUUGUAAUAUCAGUUGCAUCAAUAAAAACACUGUAUGGAAGCAAUGGAAUUAUGUAUCCAUCUUCAUUGUCAACGCUCAGUGAAGUUCCCAAUUGUCCUAGAAAUUAACAUGACUGGGAAGAAGCUGCAGUUAAAGAGGAUUGUAACCGAAUUCAAAAAGUGACAACAAGCCCUUUGUUUAUCACUGUUUAAUAAACGAAUGGGCGAAUGCUACAGUUGACGUGUGUGCUCCAACGUAGUUUAUCGCAGGAUUCUGUGCAAUGUACAGUUCUUCAAAUGCAAGAGUUAUUGACAAUUUAAACUACGACUGCACCAAAUACACCCCCCUUUCCCACAACGAUACGAUUCAUCAGAGGCUUACAAAUAUGGCGUUUGCUAUGACAUUGCACGACCUACAACAACACAAUUCAUAACAAAAAUCAACGUUACACAGACGAGCGUAACAGAAAGCACAAAAGAUAUGAUCACAGAGACAGAAUACUUGACAUCCACUAGUACAUUCAGCAGUGAUGGAUUAACCACAACCCACUUUAUACUUGUUACUGUUAUUCCCACUGCGUUCUUCAUUGUCUUAUUAGUUGGAUUAUUAUUCAUUUGCAAAAUCAUCAUGGGAAAAAAAAGAGCAAGUAAAGAAAAUGAGAUCCUUGACAAAGUAGAAAAGGAACCCUUAGAUCGUGCCCUUGCAGGUGGAGUUGGUUCAAUUAAUAUAGGAGAAAAUAAGGAAAUAUCAAGAACUUCAUAAAAAACUGAAAUUGAUGUAAAGAAAAGCUGGAUACUGUGAAAAAUAUCCAAUAGUGGUGUUUAGAAAAGAAUUAAAGAAAUGACAUGCGGACUUUUGUUUAUAUGUUUUUGAAUUCUGUAAGUAGGAAAAGUUCCCUUCCACGAAUCUUUUUUUUUUUACUUUCAGUUUGUCUUACCUUCUUGCAAUCAAACGAAGAUGUCAUCAGCUUAUCAAAACUACCGUGGCUUUGCUUAAUAAACAGCUUUGAAUUCUUUACAAAUAUAAAGAGCAAGUGAAAAGGGUGGA